This 121-nucleotide small nuclear RNA is filed under the name Erpetoichthys calabaricus (reedfish). RNAcentral describes it as "U1 spliceosomal RNA (ENSECRG00000009853.1)". It matches the Rfam family "U1 spliceosomal RNA". From Rfam's summary of the family: U1 is a small nuclear RNA (snRNA) component of the spliceosome (involved in pre-mRNA splicing). Its 5' end forms complementary base pairs with the 5' splice junction, thus defining the 5' donor site of an intron. There are significant differences in sequence and secondary structure between metazoan and yeast U1 snRNAs, the latter being much longer (568 nucleotides as compared to 164 nucleotides in human). The record is from RNAcentral. Lineage: Eukaryota; Metazoa; Chordata; Cladistia; Polypteriformes; Polypteridae.
AUACUUACCUGGCAGGGGAGAUACCAUGAUCACUAAGGUGGACCCCUGCAAUUUCCCCAAAUGCAGGAAACUCAACUGCAUAAUUUGUGGUAGUCGGGGACUGCGUUCACGCUAUCCCCUG